This 76-nucleotide transfer RNA is filed under the name Podarcis lilfordi (Lilford's wall lizard). RNAcentral's name for it is "tRNA.Phe". Lineage: Eukaryota; Metazoa; Chordata; Lepidosauria; Squamata; Lacertidae. The record is from RNAcentral.
GGAUAGCUCAGUUGGUUAGAGUGUGGUGCUGAAAAUACCAAGGUUGCAAGUUCAAUCACUGUAAGGGAUAGCUGCA